UUAGAAGAGAUCUUAAAUAAUUAUUACUAAUUUAUUUAUUUUUGGUUAGAAGUUCAUAUAAUUUAAUAUUAUUAACUAAUCAAAAUCAAUAAAUUCGAAGAGUGAUUUUGUGAUAGUUAUGAUGUUAAAUAUUUUUGAUAGGUAACGAAGAGAGUGAACACGCCUACGGGUCAUUGGAAAGGAUGGAACUGGAGAACCGAAGGAGAUUUGCUUCAGAACGGAGCUUACUUCACUGCUUCGGGAGUCGCUGCAUCUGGUAGCUACGCACGUGCCUCUAGCCUCGCCGCUAAAUCUUCUUCAUUGGUCGAUACAAUUACUUCUGACGCUGGAGCUCUACCAUGUCGCCGAGGACGUCAAUGUACCUCAUAGUUGUUUUUAACCUCCUACCGACACCAUAACCACCAAAAUUCAUAACCAUUUUCUAUUAUAUUUAGACAAAAGUGUACAUUCUCACACAUUUGUCAAUUAAAAGCCUAUUGUCUCUUCUUUUUUUCGUCUGUGUUUGUGUCAAUUUUUCAACCUCGGGUUUUCUUGCUUCAACCGCAAGUUAACACAAGAAAAGGAAAUAAAAAAACUUUUCAUGUAAAAGAGAAACUCCCGAAGUGUUGUUGGUUCUGUCUGAUCAACUCGUAUACCCAGAAAAAAACAAGAAUGUUAAUGUCUUGUUUUUUCUUUUGUGUGUUCUUCUGGUUUAUAAUUAAAUAUAAUGUCUAAUGAUUUGUGAAUCUUUCUACUUGUCUUUGUAAUAGAGUGUCUAAUAAAGUGUAAUAUAGUGUCUAAUAAAAGUUUAUAGCUUUGAUAGCUUUAUUUUCUUUUAAGUGGUUGUAACUUGUCAUGAUUAUACUUUUUAACUAAGCAAGCAACCAAUAUAGUAAUUGGCAGUUUAUAAAAAACUUUGUAUUAGUAUUGUUAUCUAAUUUAACAUUAGAAAAAGUUUGUUUGCGACAUAUUCGAAUAUUUAUCACCCGCUAGUGUUUCUCUAUUUAGAUUUCCUACCACGUAAACUUUAGAAAAAAUAUUAUCAAGUUUCUAAUGCAACUAGACAUCAUAAAAACAAAUUAGCAAAAAACAGUAAAUAUCUAUUAUGUGUAAAUAUUACCUUUAAAAUGCCAAUUUUUUUAUUAAUAAUCGACAAAGUGGCUAAGUUUAUUAAUAAGUGACAAAGUGAUCAAGUGGUAAAGGGAAAUGUUAAUGUCUUGUUUUUUCUUAUGUGUGUUCUUCUGGUUUAUAAUUAAACAUAGUGUCUAAUGAUUUGUGAAUCUUUCUACUUGUCUUUGUAAUAGCUUUGAUAGAUUUAUAUGGCUGGAUUUGAUAGCUUUAUUUUCCUAAGUGGUUUUAACUUGUCAUGAUUAUACUUUUUAGCUAAACAAGCAACCAAUAGUGUUAUCUGAUUUUUAACUUUGCAUUAGUGUUAUCUGAUUUUUAACAUUAGAAAAAGUUUGUUUGCGACACAUUCGAAUAUUUAUCACCCGCUAGUGUUUCUCUAUUUUGAUUUCCUACCACCUAAACUUUAGAAAGAAAUAUUAUGAAGUUUCUAGUGCAAGACAUCAUAAAAACAAAUUAGCAAAAAAACAGUAAAUAUCUAUUAUGUGUAGAUAUUACCUUCAGAGUGUCAAUUUUUUUUAUUAAUAAUCGACAGUAACAAAGUGUGAUAGAAAGUCCUGAAAGAACGAUUGUUCUAUAUACUAAGACCAUGUUUUAUUUACAUUAGAUAGUAUUUUUGUUAUAAAAUUUUAUAGUCCUUGAUGACGGAUUAGCAUCUCAAACUCAAUUUCAUAUUUCAUUGAUUUUGACUAAAAAUGCUCCAAUUACGUUCUAUUUUCCACUCUAUAGUGAAGUAACCAAUGAAAUCACUUCAUCAAUAUAGAGUAUUGUUUUUAUUUUUCAGAAUCAGAGUAAAAUUCAAUUCCAUUAUUAUGGAUUUACGACGUUUUAAAGUAAAAAUAAAGUUUACUAGAGAUAUUUUUAGUGAAUAUAUAUAAAUCUUAAAUUCAAUCUGAUUUUUUGUGUUAAAACCCCCAAUAUUAUAAUGAAUAUAAUUAAUUGAUGUUUUAUUUGGCUUUUUUGCAUUGGGAAGUUGAUCGUUAACAUGAAAAACAAGAAAAGCCUAAAACACGCUAAAUCGGAUCCAUGUGCACCCACGUGACAAAAAAAUCAAAAAUCACAAGCAAAAUGUUCCAACAGAUAAUGAUAACCUUUUAUUUUCACCAUCAUUAAGAUUAUCUACACAUCUCCCUAUCAGAAAAUUUAUAGAACAUAAUUUAUCUAAAGCUAAAGUGAUAUAAACGGCAUCUCCAAUGGUACUCUAUAAUCUUCUUUAUAAUUUCCACUAAAAUAGAGUAAUUCUAUAAUAGAAUUAUUCUAUUUUAAUGAAAAUUAUAAAAUAGAUUAUAAUAGAGUUAUUCUAUUUUAUUGAAUUUUUUUUUUGUUGGAACAUUUUAUUGAAAAUUAUAAAGGAGAUUAUAGAGCAUCAUUGGAGAUGGUAUAAGAAUGUUAUAUUUUGGAUAAAAUGAUCCAUAUAUAAAAGACAUUUACGUCUACAGUAACUCUUUAAAAGAACAUUGAUCUCGUAUAGCCUAACUUAAUAUGGUUGUACAACGGUGGAUAACAUAUUUAUCAUUUUGAGAAAACAUUUCAGUUUUUUCACCCAUAUUUUUUUUUUUUUUUUUUUUUUUUUGUAACUGCAUUCAUAAAUCAUCCAUGUUAUACAGUCUCAAACCGUAUCAACAAUGUCAAAUCUCGAUAACGAGUCAAUUUUCAUUGCGUCUACGAUGGUCACAUUCACCUAUGAUGAUCAUAUUCAUCUACGAUGUCCGGUUCAACAAAUGUGGUUUUUUUACUAGUACAAUUAAAUUUCAGUAAUUUCUAGAAUUAACACAAAGAUAAAGAUACAAAAAUGCUAAUUUCAAAGUGGAUGCGUAACUGAAUUUUUUUUUUUGAUAAAAAAAGGUUAAAUCCAGAUCUAUAAAAAUACAGAAUUAAUCCUUGGGUGAAAGGUGCAACUUACGGAUGUAUCUUCUCUCGGGUAUUCAAAUGGACAGUAAACAUGGACUUAUAUCCGUGUGGCCACAUGUAGAACUAAUAAUUUCGCACUGGAGAAGAAUCGAUUUCUAACUUGGAUCAACAGGACAACUCCUCCUCUAGUGGAAACCAGUAGACCACCACGAUGUGGUUUGAAGUUGUUUAGUUUAUUUAGCUUUGAACGGAUUAAAAAUCUUUUUAGUGAUACUACCGAUAAUAUGUGUGGGAAUAUGAUAAACUCAACAUUUUGACUGUUGAUUAGUUCCACGAAAAUGUUGAUCUUAGUUAGUGAUACAAUCGGUAUGCGAGUAAAACUGUGGUCCACAUUGGUAUAUUUUGAUGCUCGGAUCUUGAUGUGAGAAUUCACACACGUUCUUUCUCAUAAAAAUUUGAAAUAUACGUUUAAAGAGUUCAGAACUUUUAGAUAAAGAAAGAUAUCGAUCGAGGUAUGUGACGUAAACGAGAAAAAUAAAAAGCUUUAAUUGCAAAAAGGCUUCAUAUUAAUAAAUUAUUUUAACAUUUCCAAAAAGGUUUAGUCGCAAGAAAUAAAAAGGGAUAUUUUUGUCGUUAAGUGAAUUGCUUCGUCGCUUUCGGAAGAAGAAUGCAUGUUGGUCGAUCUUAGAUAUGCAUUCAUUGAAUUUCCUUCAUAUCCACUCUCCAUUAUUCAGUUUUGAUUUAGUUUUGGAAUAUUUGCUUCCUUUUCCAAAUAAUAUUCUGAUGCCUAGUUAUUUGAACAAUAUUGUGCAAAUAUAUUAACGUUACUAGUGAUCAAUCACAUACGAAAAUCAGAAAUACUGAGAUUUACACUACCUUGAUUGUUUCACAUAACAUUACACUUGGUAUUUUCCAAAAACAUGUUCUGCAUUAUAUUUGGGAGAAAGCAAAGAAAUAGAGUUGUUUUAUGUUUUCUUUUUAAAAAAAAAAAAAAUAUAUAUAUUAGAAAUCAACCCGAGAACCGGAAAUUCAAGUUUCGGUUACAAGCUCGAAUUGAAAAAAAACUCCCAAGUUAAUCUAUUACAUUCUAAUUUCAUCCACCCACUAAAUCCAGCACGUUUCACUAGUCCGAUUUUUGAAAUCCUUAAGCUUCCAAGUUUUGUUUAAUGCGUAUUUGUAUGCUCUGAUGAGUAUAAACUUAAGAGUACUACGCCAACUUUUAAAAGUUUAGAUGUUCUUUUUUUUUGUCUCUAUCUGUAUAUAUAGUUUAGAGUCAUGAUAUUACUUUUGGGUUCGGAUAUUUGAUCUUUGGAUUAUAAGGCCGUUAGAUAUGUGGAGUAUUGUCACAUUAGGCGUUGGGCCGCUAACGGGCCUAGAAUAAAAACGCAAUGAGACCGCACGGCCCAAGUUUAUAGAUAACGGGAGAAGGUAAGGUUGUUACGCCUAACGGCCAUAACAACUUGUUCAUCGUCUAUCUCGAAACAGAGGAGAGAAGGGAGAGAGAACAGAGAGCAGAGUUACAUAGAUCGAGAGAAGAGAGAUAAGGGAGAGAGUACGAGAGCGGAAGGAGAAACUGAUUAAGAACAGAGAGAUCCAGUAGUGAUCACAGCUCUUGCGAUCGAGGCGUGUAGUCACUCUCGUAAUCUUCUCCGAAGAGUUCUCGGUACAUUCUUUUGUAGUACCUGCACAUAAACAAGAUCAGGUGAGAUCUUGAGCUGUUGUAUCACCAUUGAUCAAUAGUGAAGUGCAUGAGAGUUUUGUUCUCUCCCCAGUCAGUAGGAAACGAAGACUGGGUAAACAAUUGCUUGUGUUGUUUGCGUUGAUUCGAUUAACAGGUUCAUCACAAGUUAAGGUCAAGAUUGAAUUGAUAAUCAACUAGGUGAACUGGAUCAAGAUCGGAAUCGAACCUAGUCUGAUACCUUAACAGUUAUGAUGUUAAAUAUUUUUGAUAGGUAACGAAGAGAGUGAACACACCUACGGGUCAUUGGAAAGGAUGGAACUGGAGAACCGAAGGAGAUUUGCUUCAGAACGGAGCUUACUUCACUGCUUCGGGAGUCGCUGCAUCUGGUAGCUACGCACGUGCCUCUAGCCUCGCCGCUAAAUCUUCUUCAUUGGUCGAUAC
RNAcentral lists this long non-coding RNA (5077 nucleotides) under Brassica napus (rape). Its description in RNAcentral is "long non-coding RNA (BNAP_LNC022352)". Lineage: Eukaryota; Viridiplantae; Streptophyta; Magnoliopsida; Brassicales; Brassicaceae. The record is from RNAcentral.